GACGAACGCUGGCGGCGUGCUUAACACAUGCAAGUCGAACGGAAAGGCCCUUUUGGGGGUACUCGAGUGGCGAACGGGUGAGUAACACGUGAGUAACCUGCCCUUGACUUCGGGAUAACUUCAGGAAACUGGGGCUAAUACCGGAUAGGAAUCCUUGCCGCAUGGUGGGGGUUGGAAAGCUUCGGCGGUUUUGGAUGGACUCGCGGCUUAUCAGCCUGUUGGUGGGGUAGUGGCUUACCAAGGCUUUGACGGGUAGCCGGCCUGAGAGGGCGACCGGCCACAUUGGGGCUGAGAUACGGGCCAGACUCCUACGGGGGGCAGCAGUGGGGAAUAUUGCACAAUGGGCGGAAGCCUGAUGCAGCAAAGCCGCGUGCGGGAUGACGGCCUUCGGGUUGUAAACCGCUUUCAGCAGGUGCGAAGCUUUUGUGACGGUACCUGCAGAAGGAGCACCGGCUAACUACGUG
RNAcentral lists this ribosomal RNA (464 nucleotides) under uncultured bacterium. RNAcentral describes it as "partial 16S ribosomal RNA". It matches the Rfam family "Bacterial small subunit ribosomal RNA", at positions 28 to 507 of the family's 1533-position model. The record is from RNAcentral.